Long non-coding RNA from Malurus melanocephalus (red-backed fairy wren), 4203 nucleotides. RefSeq lists it as uncharacterized. The record is from RefSeq and is a predicted model, not a curated record. NCBI's taxonomy places the organism in Eukaryota, Metazoa, Chordata, Aves, Passeriformes, Maluridae. The transcript has 3 exons.
AAAGGGAGAGAGAAAGGUGUCCACUGGAAGCAGAGGCUUGCAGCAGCUGCCCACUGCUGGGAACUCAGAAAAGAAAACCAAGACUCCAAAGAUGUGAGUACAGACAGUGAGAAAAAUGUCCUGCRAGAGAAUGCUGUUCUGCCAAGCCCUAACAACACAGCAGAGGAUCCUUUGGCUGUUGUCUGCGAUGGUCUUGGAAACCCUCUCUGCUGAAUAUAAAAUGUGCAUCCAUCACUSCUUCCAUGGGCUAAAGACCUGCUCCCAGAGCUGUGGAGUGUGACAAUGGUGUUUGUGUCCUGUCUAUCAAACGCCAUUAUCACACUAAAUAGUUCCUGGCAGACAAAGCACCAGGUAUGGAAGGUUUGGGACCUCUGGCAGUACCUCUUCCCACCGUGCUGAGGAAUAAACAACCAUGCUACACGUACAGCAGGAUGACUGCUCCUUCAUUUAGGGGCAAAAGCACCAUAAUACGUGGGAAAUCCACACUCUGACACAUGCAAUUCCAGAUCCCCAUUGUAAAGCACACCAAACAUCUUAAGGAAUCAUCACUAUAAUGUCAUUACUAGGAAUGUGGAUUUCCUUGGCAUUAAUGGGGUUGUGUUCACCCCUGAGAGGUCAGCCUGUGAUUUUUCCCAUUGAACUAACCAGGAUGAUAAAACUGAAGGCAAUUAGCCGAUGGAGUGAAACUCCAUCUCUGACUUUGGCACCAAACUACAAUAUACGUUUGGAAUAUUAAUUGGCUGAGAUGCUCAUGACAUUUUUCAAACAGAACAUUCCCAAAAUUCUAAUAAAAAUCUAUUGCCUCUAACUUGAAACACCUUUUAUCCAAUGCUUUUAGCUUUGCUCCUGUCCCACCAGGCUCAAACCCCUUGCCUUAUGGUCUAAACCCCCUGUUUUUGGAAUGGUCACAAUUUCCUCACAGAACUUCUUCUGAAAACUAUUGUAAAAAAUAGGCAUCAUCUGUAGGAACUYCCAAAGGCCUAAUGAAAGCAGUGCACUGAGGAGCCUAAAUCCCAUGGAAUAGUCCAAGAUUUAGGCUCAAAGGAUGUUGUGCUCUGACCUGCAAUGGAAGCGGUGGAAAAAUAUCACCACUACAGCUCAGUGGUUUUUAAAGCACUAAAAUCUGUGAAGGAAUAAGUAAAAUGAUCCAUUUCUCCCAUCUGAAGAACUUCACACCAAGACUUAGUUCUGCAGUAAUUGGUCUCCUGCACCUCAGGGAGCAGAGAACUACUAAAAUCCCAAGUGCUUUGGAAGCACUCCAGAGAACUUUGUCCCGUGUCACAGCAGGAAUUUAAACUGCAGAUGUUUGCCUAAGCCUGCCUCCUUUGCCCUCAAUGGACAGGCACAGACACUUGUUACACAGYAAAUCCAACCUAUUUCAAAUGUUUGGGUUUCAGCUGAGCCGCAUUUUGCUCUCAGUUCCAUAGGGAAGAGCUCCCUUCAYUGUGCAGGGAGGCCAGGAUGCCCAGCCUGGAUGUGACACGAACAUGGCAAUCAGGCCUGCUUCGCCCUCUCCUGACCAGAACUGCACUGGAGCUCCUGCAGCCCACUGACCACACGGCUCUGCUUUGGGCUCCCCUGUUUCGCAGUUUCCUGGCAAAAAACACCGAGCAAGGACAAAAGAUCAGAGUUCCUUCCUCCACUCUUUAUGGACUGUGUUCAGGAGUACAGAACGAAUCAGUUCUGUGGCCUCUGUGCCAGCACAGCUCAAGCCACACCAGUCCCACUCAGCAUUUCUGGCUCAGUAAGACCAUGAGUUCUCCCCUCAUGGCACCAGGCCAGCUCUCAGCAGCACAGAUCAACACUGCCCAAGGUGGCAAGACCCAGCAACACAGAGGAGCUCUGGGCACUUCGUUUUUUCCCAUCCACAUUCAUGGAAUUAAAAAUCCAACGGUAGACAUUAAUUCAGAGCUCCUCAUUCCUGGAAAGGAGCAUGGAAACCAAAUACAGAAUCAGAAAAAAUCUGUCAUCUUUCAGGAAUACCAUUAGCUAAAUAACAAACAGUGAUACCAUUUUCAGGAGGUUGUUCAUUUGGGGAAAGUAUUAUCCUUUCUAUACACMUGAGGUGAUCCUUACUACAGCUUGCAUUGUGUGUUCACUUCCUYACUUCACCUUCCUCCUCCCCAACACAAUGUGUGAUUUCAUAGGACUCAUUUCUCACAGUGAGCUGGAUGGCAUUCACUAAAGCAUUUUUAUAAAUCCUCUGAUUCCUGAGAACAAUGUUCCUACAUAAAGCAUUUAUGACUUCUUUGGCWUGUAAUAGGAUGAUGUGCAUUCAUUUCAACUGCUUUUACUUUGGAUCUAUGGCUGAAAGAGUAAAUCAGUCUAAAUUUUGAAUGGAUGCCAGCCUGCAAAUGUUAAGGACUUCCCCAGAAUAUUCUAGAGUCACAUUUGUAAUAAUUUAGAUGACAUUGUGAGGCUCUUUCUCGUACCACAGGUAUACAGAAAAGCUUCAGUUUAGAAUAAAGGCUGAAUACGUGAUCAGAUCWUUCUCCUGCCAGAUUCUCAAAGGAGAAUAUGAAGUUAAAGCACUGGUCACAGGCACUUACCCCCAUCCCUUUUCCCUGUCCAGCAGCCACUGUCUACUCCUAUCCAUGGCUCUGGUGGCCUGUGGUGUAACUAGAAGCCUUAAUUAACUUCAGAGAAGUGGACUAAAGUUAGAAUAUUACAGGCCUACAUCUUUACACAUAUGCUUAAGUCUCCCCAAAAGAGCUGAAGCCAUUGCAACACCACUAGGAAACAGGCCCCUAGAAAUGCCCUGAACAASCUUUUGCUCAGGCUCCAAAUUGCUGUUUUUGAGAGAAAAAGGGGAAAGAUACCAUCAAAUCCCUUUGGAAUUUUCCUUGUUUAUCAGGGAUGCGGCCAAUACAAAGCAUCACACUGAGAAGAGUCUUUGUAAAAGCUUGUGUCACAAAUACAUACYCCAAAGCUCUGGCACUUUUGCUGGCUGGAGAAGGGAUUCCAGCUUGUUGUGUACCCUGGGCUGCAGCCACUGCUAGCCCUGUGUGUUCAGCCCUACCUUCCUCCAGCUGGUGGACCACCAGGACCUUACCUGCUCUUCAUGUCACUUGUGAAGUGCCCUUUGGACAAACCCAUUUCAAGGGAGGUGUGCAUGAAAAGCAAAGCUCAAUUACAGGGUAGCCCCAUUCUUUCAGAACAAAAUAAAUAUAUUUCUAUUACAGGUGGGUUUCCAUUAAUACGAACAGAAAACAGUUAAAAGACCCAGUUGAGGACUGUUUUUUUUUAAGUUAAAGCAAGAAUGAACUUCCAGUGCACCCUGCCCCACCCACAUUUAAUUGUGAAGAGACAGAGGUGCAAAGCACAGCCAUGCUGCUGAGGAAUUAGGUUCACUCACCCUUUGGCCAGGGUUGCUAUGCCMACAUCCGUUAACUUCAUCCCUACACCUGCAUGGCAGCAAGAAAACAUAGAGCUUAGGUUACACUGGAAUUUUUAGGACAAUCUUCACUAAAUKUUAUUUAUUGAGUUACCUUUUUCAUUUUAAUUAUUUGUCACUUUCUUUUCAAAGCAUUUUAAAGURUCACAGUUAAGAAUAGGAUGUUCUCUGUGUCACCAGCAGUUUCUAGAAGUCAGGCUCAUACCACUAUUUUACAGCUGUCAGGGUGAUAAACAGAGCACAGCUUGUUUCCUGUGCUAGGAUUUUGUUCUUUCUUCUCCCUUCAAAUGACUUCACGGAUCUUGUUUAGAUGCCUUGUUUCAAAUUUUCCUGGCUUCACUUGUAAAGGAAUAUAGGAUGUUUCCUAACAUUCCAGCUUUUUCUAUUUUUCUUCAAGAAGGGUCUGUCUUCCCCUGUCCCARCUAUAUUGCAGGACUGAGAAGGAGUCACACCCAUGGGAGCUGAGGCSACACUUAGCAAUCACAAGGGUGCUUGCUUCUUUUUGAAGGAAUAUAUUUCUUCAAAACUAGCCAGGGCCUAAAUGUGGAACAUUCUACUGCUGAGUGAUUGUUGGUGAGUGUUUAAAUACAAGAAAAAGGGGAGGAGUAGGGUGCCGUUAACACCUGAAAUUUUUCACUUAGCAGCCAUUUCAUUAAUCCCUGGGUAGUGAGACAAAAAGCCAGAUUUGAGUGUACUAAGGUACAUGUGAAAGAACAAGACUUCCACUAAGAGUAUAAGAUUUGGUUUUCUUUUCCCUUACAAGAACAUAAGCUAGAUAAAAAUUGCCCCUACUCAGACAACUCACCUUG